GGCUAUGUAGCUCAGCUGGUUAGAGCACGGCACUCAUAAUGCCGGGGUCGCAGGUUCAAGUCCCGCCAUAGCCACCA
RNAcentral lists this transfer RNA (77 nucleotides) under Ferrimonas balearica. RNAcentral's name for it is "tRNA-Met". It matches the Rfam family "tRNA". Rfam says of the family: Transfer RNA (tRNA) molecules are approximately 80 nucleotides in length. Their secondary structure includes four short double-helical elements and three loops (D, anti-codon, and T loops). Further hydrogen bonds mediate the characteristic L-shaped molecular structure. tRNAs have two regions of fundamental functional importance: the anti-codon, which is responsible for specific mRNA codon recognition, and the 3' end, to which the tRNAs corresponding amino acid is attached (by aminoacyl-tRNA synthetases). tRNAs cope with the degeneracy of the genetic code in two manners: having more than one tRNA (with a specific anti-codon) for a particular amino acid; and 'wobble' base-pairing, i.e. permitting non-standard base-pairing at the 3rd anti-codon position. The record is from RNAcentral. Lineage: Bacteria; Pseudomonadati; Pseudomonadota; Gammaproteobacteria; Alteromonadales; Ferrimonadaceae. RNAcentral also lists the same sequence under 4 other names.